AGCGCCACAGCCUCCACAGGCUAUCCUUACACCCCCCACGAUAGUGCAUCACCAGGUUCCCUUGAUGGUGCUACCUGUGCCUUCCACAGUGGUGUCUCCAUAGAAUCCUGCUUCAAUUGUGGCUCCACAACCACCACCUCAACUAGAGCCGUAGGCAUCUCCUCGAAGUUCGGAGAGGAGAUUGACUCAUUAGAGUCAUCCUAAGGCCCAGCA
This 213-nucleotide long non-coding RNA is filed under the name Elaeis guineensis (African oil palm). RNAcentral's name for it is "long non-coding RNA (EGUI_LNC054437)". The record is from RNAcentral. Lineage: Eukaryota; Viridiplantae; Streptophyta; Magnoliopsida; Arecales; Arecaceae.